GUUGUAUAGUUAAGUGACUAAGCGUACAAGGUGGAUGCCUUGGCAAUCAGAGGCGAAGAAGGACGUGCUAAUCUGCGAAAAGCUUGGAUGAGUCGAUAAGAGGCGUUUAAUCCAAGAUAUCCGAAUGGGGAAACCCAGUAGAUGAAGAAUCUACUAUCAACAAGUGAAUUCAUAGCUUGUUGAGGCAAACCGGGAGAACUGAAACAUCUAAGUACCCCGAGGAAAAGAAAUCAACCGAGAUUUCGUCAGUAGCGGCGAGCGAAAGCGAAAGAGCCAGUAAGUGAUAGCAGUAUAGUGAGGAGAAUGUGUUGGGAAGCACAAUCAAAGAGGGUGAUAAUCCCGUAUCUAAAAACCAUAUUGUGGUACUAAGCUAACGAGAAGUAGGGCGGGACACGUGAUAUCCUGUUUGAAGAAGGGGGGACCAUCCUCCAAGGCUAAAUACUCCUGAUUGACCGAUAGUGAACCAGUACUGUGAAGGAAAGGCGAAAAGAACCCCGGUGAGGGGAGUGAAAUAGAACCUGAAACCUUGUACGUACAAGCAGUGGGAGCCCCAUCACUUAAUCCGAUUGGAAGGUGAUGAAAAGCAACCGCACUUAAACAAUGGUAAGAGGAGCGAAGCGAGUCAAACCACCCAAAAGAAGCAGUGGGAUUAAGUGAUGGGGUGACUGCGUACCUUUUGUAUAAUGGGUCAGCGACUUAUAUUUUGUAGCGAGGUUAACUGAAUAGGGGAGCCGAAGGGAAACCGAGUCUUAACUGGGCGAGUAGUUGCAAGGUAUAGACCCGAAACCCGGUGAUCUAGCCAUGGGCAGGUUGAAGGUUGGGUAACACUAACUGGAGGACCGAACCGACUAAUGUUGAAAAAUUAGCGGAUGACUUGUGGCUGGGGGUGAAAGGCCAAUCAAACCGGGAGAUAGCUGGUUCUCCCCGAAAUCUAUUUAGGUAGAGCCUUGAGGUGACACCUUUGGGGGUAGAGCACUGUUUCGGCUAGGGGGCCAUCCCGGCUUACCAACCCGAUGCAAACUACGAAUACCAAAGAGUGAUACUCAGGAGACACACGGCGGGUGCUAACGUCCGUCGUGGAGAGGGAAACAACCCAGACCGCCAGCUAAGGUCCCCAAGUCUAUAUUAAGUGGGAAACGAAGUGGGAAGGCUUAGACAGCUAGGAUGUUGGCUUAGAAGCAGCCAUCAUUUAAAGAAAGCGUAAUAGCUCACUAGUCGAGUCGGCCUGCGCGGAAGAUGUAACGGGGCUGAAAUAUAGCACCGAAGCUGCGGCAUCAG
Molecule: ribosomal RNA, 1278 nt
Filed under: Haemophilus influenzae
Lineage: Bacteria; Pseudomonadati; Pseudomonadota; Gammaproteobacteria; Pasteurellales; Pasteurellaceae
Description: bacterial LSU rRNA
Rfam family: Bacterial large subunit ribosomal RNA
Source: RNAcentral